This 1833-nucleotide ribosomal RNA is filed under the name Triticum aestivum (bread wheat). Its description in RNAcentral is "partial small subunit ribosomal RNA". Lineage: Eukaryota; Viridiplantae; Streptophyta; Magnoliopsida; Poales; Poaceae. The record is from RNAcentral.
CACGUGCGGUCCGUUAGGUAUGUCGGAGAGAGGGCUUCUAAGCAAGGGGAGACGGAGGGAGAGUAGCAGAAGAAGUGGGAGGAGCCGUUCCUGGUCUAGCCCUUUCUACUGGUGAAUAGAAGAAGAGGCCGGCUGCCCAUGACGGCGACUAGGUAACCGCUGUUCCACCAGUUGAAAUAGAGAGCUCGGCCCUACGACCCAGUACGGUCAAAAAACUCUAGGUGCCUGUGCAAGUGUGCAUGGACGGCCUCAACUGAGCGGUACCGUACAGGGUCAGGGUGCACGAAGUGGUAUCUAGGUCCGCGCUCGUGUUGAAGCAGGUGUCGACGGUCCGUUUCUAGGUUGUUCGAGUCCCUGCGGGGGGACGCGACGUGGCGUGACGACGAGCUGCCUGUCGGUUGCGUGCCACGACGAAAACCGAACGUGGUUGGUUGAGGAACAACGCCGAUAGGACAAGAAUUAGAAGCGCUCUACUCGUGAAUCAAAAUCACAUCUCAGGACAUUACCCCUCUCAGAUUAAAGCACUAAUGUAAUUCAUCAUGCUUGUGCACAUUCGACGUACGAUUACAGGACAGAAAACAAGAGGGUGACGAUAUACAAUAACAGCACAGCUUCGUACAUUAGUACCAAUAGAGACAUAUUAUAAUUAGUUCAAGAUGGGAGUACCGUCCGUAAAAAUAACUGCUAAAGAAUACUGAGUGUGAUGUAAAUUAAUUAGUAUUGGAGAGUAAAAAAAUAAGUGAUACACAUCAGUGUAGUUAGUAUCGGGUCCUCCUUCUAGACAAUCCGCCUCUUGUGGAAACUAGAACCACGUGGUCGUCAGCGGCCGAAAAGUCGGAGUAAUAAAAGCGGCUAUAAUACCGGAGCUCUACAGCCUAUUUCCGUCGACGCUGCCCCUCUGGCGACUACUGUAGCAAGUACUUCUAUCGGUUUUAAGUCGUCUCACCACUGAGUCGACACGGUGGUCGUGGCUGUAGAGCGUACAGACAGUUCGUGUGAUAACUUCAGUAUGUCUGUAAGUUACUCAAGUUCACUAAUGAACAGUACUCGAAACCGAAACCGCCGUACGAGCUUGAGGAUUACAACGUCUUUGACUUGGAGUUUAAGUCAUGAACCUGUUACUCGUUCCAGUCGUGGUGGGCUACGCGGUAACAGGACCGACUCUUGUUCUAUGAAUUCAAGACUCGUAUCCUACAAGUGUUUCAGAAACCUUAGGGUACAUCUGUAGCGUUGUAUUUCCCAACCCUACCGGUGUAGUUCGGUCUUCUUUAAUUCAAGUAUUUCAGCUACACGAACAGCCGUUAUCUGAGUAACCAGUACUUGACUACACGAACGAAAAGGCGGUAAAACGAGUCGGACUAACAGUUCGUCUAUGGCUUUUGGGGAUAGAUUCCACCUCCGUGGGAUAGCUUGGACUAAAGAGUUGAGACCACAACAGACUAAGACCAAAGAAGGUGUGCCAUUGUUAUGUCUUCAUCAAUAGACGACUGAGCUAGUUCAUACUGUAUCGUAGCAGAGUUCGCAAGUAGUGUGGCCACGGCGCGGGCCUUCCGACCUACUAAGAUCACACCCUAUACGAUGUUUUUCAUAAUUUACACUGACUAGGAGAAAUACGGUUUUCAAGUUGGUUAGUGGGUAUGUUCCUUGCGCUGCUUCGGAACCGUACCUUCGACGUGUUACGUAAUGAGAGCACGGAACCGUACUUAAGAUAGGGCCUACCGGUCGUUGGUUCCUUUUGACCACCUAGUUCGUACUUGGGUGUUGGCUACUGUAGAAGUGCUGCAUUCACUGUGGUCCAGUCCUGAUGUAGGAAUAACGACUUUUCUGAGUGGG